GACGAACGCUGGCGGCGUGCCUAAUACAUGCAAGUAGAACGCUGAAGGAGGAGCUUGCUCUUCUGGAUGAGUUGCGAACGGGUGAGUAACGCGUAGGUAACCUGCCUGGUAGCGGGGGAUAACUAUUGGAAACGAUAGCUAAUACCGCAUAACAGUAGAUGUUGCAUGACAUUUACUUAAAAGGUGCAAUUGCAUCACUACCAGAUGGACCUGCGUUGUAUUAGCUAGUUGGUGGGGUAACGGCUCACCAAGGCGACGAUACAUAGCCGACCUGAGAGGGUGAUCGGCCACACUGGGACUGAGACACGGCCCAGACUCCUACGGGAGGCAGCAGUAGGGAAUCUUCGGCAAGGGACGGAAGUCUGACCGAGCAACGCCGCGUGAGUGAAGAAGGUUUUCGGAUCGUAAAGCUCUGUUGUAAGAGAAGAACGAGUGUGAGAGUGGAAAGUUCACACUGUGACGGUAUCUUACCAGAAAGGGACGGCUAACUACGUG
RNAcentral lists this ribosomal RNA (495 nucleotides) under uncultured bacterium. Its description in RNAcentral is "partial 16S ribosomal RNA". It matches the Rfam family "Bacterial small subunit ribosomal RNA", at positions 28 to 507 of the family's 1533-position model. The record is from RNAcentral.